CGGAGGGUGCGAGCGUUGUCCGGAAUCAUUGGGCGUAAAGGGCGCGUAGGUGGCCCGGUCAGUCCGUGGUGAAAGCGCGGGGCUCAACCCCGCGUCGGCCAUGGAUACUGCUGGGCUGGAGCACUGUAGAGGCAGGCGGAAUUCCGGGUGUAGCGGUGGAAUGCGUAGAGAUCCGGAAGAACACCUGUGGCGAAGGCGGCCUGCUGGGCAGUUGCUGACACUGAGGCGCGACAGCGUGGGGAGCAAACAGGAUUAGAUACCCUGGUAGUCCACGCCGUAAACGAUGGGCACUAGGCGCUUGGGGGAGCGACCCCCCGAGGGCCGGCGCUAACGCAUUAAGUGCCCCGCCUGGGGAGUACGGCCGCAAGGCUG
RNAcentral lists this ribosomal RNA (372 nucleotides) under uncultured organism. Its description in RNAcentral is "bacterial SSU rRNA". It matches the Rfam family "Bacterial small subunit ribosomal RNA", at positions 526 to 896 of the family's 1533-position model. The record is from RNAcentral.